Molecule: ribosomal RNA, 253 nt
Filed under: uncultured prokaryote
Description: partial 16S ribosomal RNA
Rfam family: Bacterial small subunit ribosomal RNA
Source: RNAcentral
AAUACGGAGGGGGCGAGCGUUAUUCGGAAUUAUUGGGCGUAAAGGGCGCGUAGGCGGCUUGAUAAGUCAAAGGUGAAAUCCCUCGGCUCAACUGAGGAACUGCCUUUGAAACUGUCGGGCUUGAGGCCGGGAGGGGGUAGCGGAAUUCCCAGUGUAGCGGUGAAAUGCGUAGAUAUUGGGAGGAACACCGGUGGCGAAGGCGGCUACCUGGACCGGUUCUGACGCUGAGGCGCGAAAGCGUGGGUAGCAAACA